GAUCAGCCAUGCCGCGUGCAGGAAGACUGCCCUAUGGGUUGUAAACUGCUUUUAUACAGGAAGAAACACCUCUACGUGUAGAGACUUGACGGUACUGUAAGAAUAAGGAUCGGCUAACUCCGUGCCAGCAGCCGCGGUAAUACGGAGGAUCCAAGCGUUAUCCGGAAUCAUUGGGUUUAAAGGGUCCGUAGGUGGAUAAUUAAGUCAGAGGUGAAAUCCUGCAGCUCAACUGUAGAAUUGCCUUUGAUACUGGUUAUCUUGAGUUAUUAUGAAGUAGUUAGAAUAUGUAGUGUAGCGGUGAAAUGCAUAGAUAUUACAUAGAAUACCAAUUGCGAAGGCAGAUUACUAAUAAUCAACUGACACUGAUGGACGAAAGCGUGGGGAGCGAACAGGAUUAGAUACCCUGGUAGUCCACGCCGUAAACGAUGGUCACUAGCUGUUCGAACUUCGGUUUGAGUGGCUAAGCGAAAGUGAUAAGUGACCCACCUGGGGAGUACGUUCGCAAGAAUGAAACUCAAAGGAAUUGACGGGGGCCCGCACAAGCGGUGGAGCAUGUGGUUUAAUUCGAUGAUACGCGAGGAACCUUACCAGGGCUUAAAUGUAAAUUGACAGGUUUAGAGAUAGACUUUUCUUCGGACAAUUUACAAGGUGCUGCAUGGUUGUCGUCAGCUCGUGCCGUGAGGUGUCAGGUUAAGUCCUAUAACGAGCGCAACCCCUGUUGUUAGUUGCCAGCGAGUCAUGUCGGGAACUCUAACAAGACUGCCGGUGCAAACCGUGAGGAAGGUGGGGAUGACGUCAAAUCAUCACGGCCCUUACGUCCUGGGCUACACACGUGCUACAAUGGUAGGGACAGAGAGCAG
RNAcentral lists this ribosomal RNA (860 nucleotides) under Olleya sp. 15BN12U-7. RNAcentral's name for it is "bacterial SSU rRNA". It matches the Rfam family "Bacterial small subunit ribosomal RNA", at positions 385 to 1249 of the family's 1533-position model. Lineage: Bacteria; Pseudomonadati; Bacteroidota; Flavobacteriia; Flavobacteriales; Flavobacteriaceae. The record is from RNAcentral.